RNAcentral lists this long non-coding RNA (3715 nucleotides) under Homo sapiens (human). RNAcentral describes it as "non-protein coding lnc-ADGRB1-1:3". The record is from RNAcentral. Lineage: Eukaryota; Metazoa; Chordata; Mammalia; Primates; Hominidae.
GGCUGGGCCAAGAGGCCUCUGCGGGUGCGCGCGCGAGUCGGCUGUCCUCACUUGCCUGGUGGUGGGCCUCCGUUUCCCCGUUUCCCCGUUUUGCAUAUGGGGAUGACGGCGAAGGUGGAGGUCACGUGGAGGGCGGCGGCCCGGCGCUGAGGCGCUUCGGGAGCGGGCUCCGCCCAGCCCAGGCCGAGCCCGGACCUCACACGGGCCAAAGCUGGAGCUUCUGCGGGGCUGCGCAGGCGGCGGGUCUCGGCCAGGGCAGGGCCGGGCACCUGCGCGUCUCGCGCUGCGGGGACGGGCGUUGGGCCCCAAGUCAGGCUGCACGGGCUCCGCGUGGGGCCGUGCUCGGCCGGGGGCUGGCAGGCCCCGCGGGGACUCCGGACUCCCAGUGUCACCAACGAGGAAACUGAGUCUCAAGACAUCUGAGGGACCUUUGCCCGAGGUCGCAGCCCCUCCCUGGAGGAGCUGAAGUGCAGAGUAGGGAGCCCCUUGCGGAGACCCUCCUGGGACCUCCUUCCGCAGGGGCCUGGGGCGCCUCCCUUUCCCUGCUCUGCCUGCGGGCACUGAGCUCCCGAAAGACUCCAGCCCCUCGCUCUCCCGGUGACCUGCUGGAGAAGACACCUGGGAGGAACCUGCGGACAAUGGGUGUGUGUCCUUGGGCCGCCAGGGUCACCUUUCAGCCUGUUUCCCCAGAGGUGAACCAAGAGUCACACCCAAGGCAGGAGAGCAAGAGUGAUGAGUCCGCUGCACCUUCUCCGGCAAGCGGAGGUUCUCCCGCCGCCCUCACUCUGUGAUGCUUGCUGUGCUUGCGAGGCCUACGCCAAAGCCCUGCGGGCAGCCCUGGGCUCCCGCGGACAGCCUUGCUGAGCUCCUGGGAAGGAGGCGUGCCCUCCCCUUCCCCCACCGCCCCGCUGGCUGGGGUUCUCUGCAGCCCAGGACUGUGCAUGUGUGCGCACACGGGUUCUGUGAACACGAACACAAAAGUGUGCUCGUGGACACUGCGUGGUACUGUGUGCACACAGCGCACGUCUGUGAGCUGAGGGAGUGUUCCUGGACACCAGGUGCAAGUGCACAAGUGUGUGUAUGCUGGCACAAGUGUGUGCCCAGGCGCAAACAUGGGAACGGUAGUAUAUGGCACAAAUGUGUGCACACAUGGGUGGGAGGGAAGAGGGGCACAUGCCCACCAGCAUUCCUGGGCUGGUGCUCAGGCCGGCCUGUCCUGGGCCCACCCACGCUCCUUGCCUUGGUGUAUUUCAGUCUCCCCUGGGCUCCCAGGAGGCAGUAGUGUGUGCCUGUCUUGCAGCCUCGCCAUGAUUUGGACAGGGCUUCACUCUUCGGCUAGGACAGCUAGAGUGCAGGGAAGCCGGCUCCUAACCAGGGAGGAUGCCCAUGACUGCUGACCCCCCAGCUUCCACUUGAAGGGGAAGGUUCGCCAGGACCAAUGCCUGUCUGAGAGCUGUCAGUCUGGACUGAGGAUGCCGGGUGCCUGGCACGGUGCCCACCUCCCCUUCCGUGGCUGGCGCUGUCUGUCUGGCCGCCACCUCACUCAGCCUCCUCUGACAGCUCCGUGUUCAGGUGUGCAAAGGAGGGGAAAGUGAAGCCCUUUCCUCCCAGGGCAGACCACCUCCAGGAGCCGCUUUCUUGACCAUACAAGGCGUAUAUGGGGCUGUUUCUGUGCCUGGACACUGCAGGGGGAAUGGUCUAGCGUGGGUAGGAACCACCAGAGGAGGGGCUCCGUACCUGUUGGCUCCUCCGAAAUCUGGGAUGAGCCCGCCUGAGUGCCCCACAGCAAGUCAGGGAAGGUAAACCUCUCCGUGGAAGAGCCAGGAGCCCACUCCCUCAGGCUGAGCCGAUGGGGAGGGGGAGGAGGAUGCUAAGGGGUCCUCAGGAAGGGAUGAGGGAAAUAGCCAAUAGCUGCCUGGGCCUAGGGCCGGGGCUCCCCUCCCUUCCCUCAUCUCUGCCCCUCCCUGGAAGAGGUCAUCACAUGACCUCGGGCAGCUCUGGGCUCCCUCCUUCCUCCAGAGAAGCAGGACUCCCUGGGAAGAACUCUGGUCCCACCCCUUGGCCAACCAGUGAGACCAACAGGGUGAAUAAGUGGGAUUGGCCCCAGGACGCUGAGUUCUGUUACCUAAGGGGGUGGGGGUUGCCUGGUCCUCAGCUGGCACCCCCCAAAUUGGAUCUACCAUUCCAGGUCCCAGAGGGAAUGUGGGCAACAAGGUUAGGGGGUGGUUCCAAGGCCUUCGGAAGGAACGUUGAGGCAGCACCCACUAAAGCCAACCUCAGAAAUGCUCCCUCUCUGAAUAGUAGCAUGGACUUCUCAGGGUUUAAGCUGAAUUUCCAGGUCAGUGUCAACCUAUGGCUUUGUCGUGAGUUUCCCCACCCUCCCACCCUUCCUCUCUACCCUCUGCUGCCUGGCUUCAAUGUCACCUGCUCAGGAGACCAUCCCUUGCUCCCCUGCAGCCCCUGCCUGGACAGGAGAAGGCCUGUGCACCUCCUGCUCUGCUCCCAGCACAGCUUCUGCUCCAGCAAAGCCCACGGGCACUCAGUCCUUGAUUCCUGCACCCACCAACCCCGCCGAGCCGCCCUCACUAUUACCCAGGCCUCCUUUGUCCCUUAGCAACAGAACCCCAGUUUUGUUCAAGGCAUCAAUGUAGCCAGCCUCACCAGCAGCUGGGCCAGCUGUGACACUGUUUGCCCAGGGGAUGACUGCAGGAGGCACAAUCGAGCCUCCUGGUCCUUUGGAAGGGGCAGCUGUGGCCACCCACCUCACUGACAGUCUUCCUUUCUCCUGGCUCCAGCCUGAAGUGUGGGCACGGCAUCCCGAGGACAGCAGCCAUGUGGCCAGCAAGGGGCAGGGUCCCAAGCUGAGGAUGUGAGCAGCUGCCUUGGUGCCCCAAUGGCACCGUCAGACUCAUCACCAUGGGGAGAACAAGCCCCUGCUCCCUUUAUGGGUCUGCCUCAUUGGAUUUCGUCAGGUUUUCUGUAACUGAAGCCAGUGCCACUUCCAUUGUAGCUGAUUUGGGCUCCUAAGCUCACGGGAGUGGGACAUCGUUCUAUUAGCUGCGUCCUGCCCCUCAACAACGAUGGCUCCUUGCGGGCAGGCCCCAAGGGCGCGUCAUGGCCCCACACACCUGGAACACACAGUGCCCCACACCUGGAACAGCCUGGAGGAGCUUGUGAGGCAUGAGGGCGCGGGAGCCACACUCUCAGGUGCCUGUUUUCCACAUGUCCCCAUGCAGCCCGGGCUUCCAACCACAUCUUAAAAAAUAAAAAGACGAGGAGGAGAAGAAACUUUGGUCCUAACACCAGACUAAGCCCUGUCUUGCUGUGUGAUGCUCAGCCUGAGGCACACCUUCUCUAGGCUUGUUCACCAAAGCCGCAAUGCAGGGGCAGAGCGGUCAUGAGGCCUGCCCAAGAGUGAGGUUGGUAAAGGGCUGGGCAGAACCAAGGGCAUGGGGUGUGUGGGAGGGUGGCGGUCCAUUCCCUUGUCACCCACGCAGAGGCAGUGUCAUGAGGGGACACGUGGGAGUCUCUGGGAAGGGCCUGACACAGCCCCAGCACAGGACAGUGGUCUGACCAUUCAAGACUCAGUCUGCGUCAUCAGAGACCAGGCUCUUAGAAACCAACUCCAUCCUGAUGUGCAUAACAGCCUCCCAAGGUGUUUAACAUGGAGCAGGAGUGACAAAAAGAAAAAUGAAGUAAAAGAAUAGAAAAUCCA